AGGGAUUUAGCUUAGUGGCAUAAGCACCUGCCUGGCAAGCAUGAGGUUGUGAGGUUGUAAGUUCGAUCCCUG
This 72-nucleotide transfer RNA is filed under the name Cavia porcellus (domestic guinea pig). It matches the Rfam family "tRNA". Rfam says of the family: Transfer RNA (tRNA) molecules are approximately 80 nucleotides in length. Their secondary structure includes four short double-helical elements and three loops (D, anti-codon, and T loops). Lineage: Eukaryota; Metazoa; Chordata; Mammalia; Rodentia; Caviidae. The record is from Rfam by way of RNAcentral.